Molecule: ribosomal RNA, 2924 nt
Filed under: Salmonella enterica
Lineage: Bacteria; Pseudomonadati; Pseudomonadota; Gammaproteobacteria; Enterobacterales; Enterobacteriaceae
Description: 23S ribosomal RNA
Rfam family: Bacterial large subunit ribosomal RNA
Source: RNAcentral
GGGUUGUGAGGUUAAGCGACUAAGCGUACACGGUGGAUGCCCUGGCAGUCAGAGGCGAUGAAGGGCGUACUAAUCUGCGAUAAGCGCCGGUAAGGUGAUAUGAACCGUUAUAACCGGCGAUACCCGAAUGGGGAAACCCAGUGUGAUUCGUCACACUAUCAUUAACUGAAUCCAUAGGUUAAUGAGGCGAACCGGGGGAACUGAAACAUCUAAGUACCCCGAGGAAAAGAAAUCAACCGAGAUUCCCCCAGUAGCGGCGAGCGAACGGGGAGGAGCCCAGAGCCUGAAUCAGCAUGUGUGUUAGUGGAAGCGUCUGGAAAGGCGCGCGAUACAGGGUGACAGCCCCGUACACAAAAGCGCAUGUGCUGUGAGCUCGAUGAGUAGGGCGGGACACGUGGUAUCCUGUCUGAAUAUGGGGGGACCAUCCUCCAAGGCUAAAUACUCCUGACUGACCGAUAGUGAACCAGUACCGUGAGGGAAAGGCGAAAAGAACCCCGGCGAGGGGAGUGAAAAAGAACCUGAAACCGUGUACGUACAAGCAGUGGGAGCACAGGUUUACCUGUGUGACUGCGUACCUUUUGUAUAAUGGGUCAGCGACUUAUAUUCUGUAGCAAGGUUAACCGAAUAGGGGAGCCGGAGGGAAACCGAGUCUUAAUUGGGCGUUAAGUUGCAGGGUAUAGACCCGAAACCCGGUGAUCUAGCCAUGGGCAGGUUGAAGGUUGGGUAACACUAACUGGAGGACCGAACCGACUAAUGUUGAAAAAUUAGCGGAUGACCUGUGGCUGGGGGUGAAAGGCCAAUCAAACCGGGAGAUAGCUGGUUCUCCCCGAAAGCUAUUUAGGUAGCGCCUCGUGAAUUCAUCUCCGGGGGUAGAGCACUGUUUCGGCUAGGGGGCCAUCCCGGCUUACCAACCCGAUGCAAACUGCGAAUACCGGAGAAUGUUAUCACGGGAGACACACGGCGGGUGCUAACGUCCGUCGUGAAGAGGGAAACAACCCAGACCGCCAGCUAAGGUCCCAAAGUCAUGGUUAAGUGGGAAACGAUGUGGGAAGGCCCAGACAGCCAGGAUGUUGGCUUAGAAGCAGCCAUCAUUUAAAGAAAGCGUAAUAGCUCACUGGUCGAGUCGGCCUGCGCGGAAGAUGUAACGGGGCUAAACCAUGCACCGAAGCUGCGGCAGCGACACUGUGUGUUGUUGGGUAGGGGAGCGUUCUGUAAGCCUGCGAAGGUGGCCUGUGAGGGUUGCUGGAGGUAUCAGAAGUGCGAAUGCUGACAUAAGUAACGAUAAAGCGGGUGAAAAGCCCGCUCGCCGGAAGACCAAGGGUUCCUGUCCAACGUUAAUCGGGGCAGGGUGAGUCGACCCCUAAGGCGAGGCCGAAAGGCGUAGUCGAUGGGAAACGGGUUAAUAUUCCCGUACUUGGUGUUACUGCGAAGGGGGGACGGAGAAGGCUAUGUUGGCCGGGCGACGGUUGUCCCGGUUUAAGCGUGUAGGUGUGUGUUCCGUAAAUCCGGUUCACUUUAACACUGAGGCGUGACGACGAGGCACUACGGUGCUGAAGCAACAAAUGCCCUGCUUCCGGGAAAGCCUCUAAGCAUCAGGUAACAUCAAAUCGUACCCCAAACCGACACAGGUGGUCAGGUAGAGAAUACCAAGGCGCUUGAGAGAACUCGGGUGAAGGAACUAGGCAAAAUGGUGCCGUAACUUCGGGAGAAGGCACGCUGACACGUAGGUGAAGUGAUUUACUCAUGGAGCUGAAGUCAGUCGAAGAUACCAGCUGGCUGCAACUGUUUAUUAAAAACACAGCACUGUGCAAACACGAAAGUGGACGUAUACGGUGUGACGCCUGCCCGGUGCCGGAAGGUUAAUUGAUGGGGUCAGCGCAAGCGAAGCUCCUGAUCGAAGCCCCGGUAAACGGCGGCCGUAACUAUAACGGUCCUAAGGUAGCGAAAUUCCUUGUCGGGUAAGUUCCGACCUGCACGAAUGGCGUAAUGAUGGCGGGCUGUCUCCACCCGAGACUCAGUGAAAUUGAACUCGCUGUGAAGAUGCAGUGUACCCGCGGCAAGACGGAAAGACCCCGUGAACCUUUACUAUAGCUUGACACUGAACAUUGAGCCUUGAUGUGUAGGAUAGGUGGGAGGCUUUGAAGUGUGGACGCCAGUCUGCAUGGAGCCGACCUUGAAAUACCACCCUUUAAUGUUUGAUGUUCUAACGUGGACCCGUUACCCGGGUUGCGGACAGUGUCUGGUGGGUAGUUUGACUGGGGCGGUCUCCUCCUAAAGAGUAACGGAGGAGCACGAAGGUUGGCUAAUCCUGGUCGGACAUCAGGAGGUUAGUGCAAUGGCAUAAGCCAGCUUGACUGCGAGCGUGACGGCGCGAGCAGGUGCGAAAGCAGGUCAUAGUGAUCCGGUGGUUCUGAAUGGAAGGGCCAUCGCUCAACGGAUAAAAGGUACUCCGGGGAUAACAGGCUGAUACCGCCCAAGAGUUCAUAUCGACGGCGGUGUUUGGCACCUCGAUGUCGGCUCAUCACAUCCUGGGGCUGAAGUAGGUCCCAAGGGUAUGGCUGUUCGCCAUUUAAAGUGGUACGCGAGCUGGGUUUAGAACGUCGUGAGACAGUUCGGUCCCUAUCUGCCGUGGGCGCUGGAGAACUGAGGGGGGCUGCUCCUAGUACGAGAGGACCGGAGUGGACGCAUCACUGGUGUUCGGGUUGUCAUGCCAAUGGCACUGCCCGGUAGCUAAAUGCGGAAGAGAUAAGUGCUGAAAGCAUCUAAGCACGAAACUUGCCCCGAGAUGAGUUCUCCCUGAGACUUAAAGUCUCCUGAAGGAACGUUGAAGACGACGACGUUGAUAGGCCGGGUGUGUAAGCGCAGCGAUGCGUUGAGCUAACCGGUACUAAUGAACCGUGAGGCUUAACCUUACAACGCCGAAG